CCAAUAGCGUAUAUUAAAGUUGUUGCAGUUAAAAAGCUCGUAGUUGAAUUUCGAGAUCAAAUUGUUGGUCGUGCCUUGGUACGCACUGGCAUUAUUGGUUUCUCCCUUCUGACGAACCAUGAUGUCAUUAAUUUGGUGUCUUGGGGAAUCAGGACUGUUACUUUGAAAAAAUUAGAGUGUUUAAAGCAGGCUCACGCUUGAAUACAUUAGCAUGGAAUAAUGAAAUAGGACGUUUGAUUCUAUUUUGUUGGUUUCUAGGAUCGACGUAAUGAUUAAUAGGGAUAGUUGGGGGCAUUAGUAUUCAAUUGUCAGAGGUGAAAUUCUUGGAUUUAUUGAAGACUAACUACUGCGAAAGCAUUUGCCAAGGAUGUUUUCAUUAAUCAAGAACGAAAGUUAGGGGAUCGAAGACGAUCAGAUACCGUCGUAGUCUUAACCAUAAACUAUGCCGACUAGGGAUCGGAUGAUGUUAAUUUUUUAAUGACUCAUUCGGCGCCUUACG
This 499-nucleotide non-coding RNA is filed under the name uncultured Glomus. RNAcentral's name for it is "SSU rRNA". It matches the Rfam family "Eukaryotic small subunit ribosomal RNA", at positions 591 to 1092 of the family's 1831-position model. The record is from RNAcentral. Lineage: Eukaryota; Fungi; Glomeromycota; Glomeromycetes; Glomerales; Glomeraceae. RNAcentral also lists the same sequence under 1 other name.